This 84-nucleotide transfer RNA is filed under the name Delitschia confertaspora ATCC 74209. It matches the Rfam family "tRNA". Rfam says of the family: Transfer RNA (tRNA) molecules are approximately 80 nucleotides in length. Their secondary structure includes four short double-helical elements and three loops (D, anti-codon, and T loops). Lineage: Eukaryota; Fungi; Ascomycota; Dothideomycetes; Pleosporales; Delitschiaceae. The record is from Rfam by way of RNAcentral.
GGGCGUGUAGCUCAGUGGUAGAGCGCCCGCUUUGCAUCCUAGCAAAGUUGCGGGAGGUCUAGGGUUCGAUCCCCUACCCGUCCA